Molecule: ribosomal RNA, 492 nt
Filed under: Triticum aestivum (bread wheat)
Lineage: Eukaryota; Viridiplantae; Streptophyta; Magnoliopsida; Poales; Poaceae
Description: partial small subunit ribosomal RNA
Source: RNAcentral
AUGGCGUCUUUUUCUGCCGCCCUCGUCGCGCUGCUGCUCGCCAGCUGCGCCGUGGCGGCCGCGGCCACGACGUUCGACGUCGGCGACGGGCACGGCUGGCAGACCGGCGUCGACUACACGGCCUGGACGUCCGACAAGACCUUCGCGGUCGGCGACAAGCUAGUGUUCAACUACACUAGGAAGGCGCACACGGUGACGGAGGUGAACGACAGCGGCUACAGCGCCUGCUCGGGCGCCAACUCCCUGAGCAACGACGACAGCGGCGCCACCACCGUCACGCUCACGAUGGCCGGCGUGCACUACUUCAUCUGCGACGUCACGGGCCACUGCCCCAACGGCAUGAAGCUCACCGUCACCGUGACGGUCGCCGGGGGCUCGACGACCGGAGGCACCGUCCCUACGGGCGCCUCCGGUGUGUCCCGCGGGCCGGCGGUGAGCGCCGCUGUCGCCGCUGCCGAGGGGGCUCUGGUCGCGCUCGCGCUCUUCUCAUGA